GCGCACUGAUGAAUAUCUUAUGGUCCUUUCCUUGACUUUGGAGUUUAUUUCAGUGCAAGAAUAAAAUUCCUUCUUGCAGAAAGAUCAGGUUGUAAUGUAGCCUGACCUUUCCGAGAGUUGGAUACAUUG
Non-coding RNA from Xenopus laevis (African clawed frog), 129 nucleotides. The record is from Rfam. Lineage: Eukaryota; Metazoa; Chordata; Amphibia; Anura; Pipidae.